Molecule: ribosomal RNA, 247 nt
Filed under: uncultured bacterium
Lineage: Bacteria
Description: partial 16S ribosomal RNA
Rfam family: Bacterial small subunit ribosomal RNA
Source: RNAcentral
CAUGCCGUAAACGAUGAGUGCUAAGUGUUAGGGGGUUUCCGCCCCUUAGUGCUGCAGCUAACGCAUUAAGCACUCCGCCUGGGGAGUACGACCGCAAGGUUGAAACUCAAAGGAAUUGACGGGGGCCCGCACAAGCGGUGGAGCAUGUGGUUUAAUUCGAAGCAACGCGAAGAACCUUACCAGGUCUUGACAUCCCGAUGACCGCUCUAGAGAUAGAGUUUUCCCUACGGGGCAGGGAGACAGGUGG